RNAcentral lists this unclassified non-coding RNA (259 nucleotides) under Hevea brasiliensis (rubber tree). The record is from RNAcentral. Lineage: Eukaryota; Viridiplantae; Streptophyta; Magnoliopsida; Malpighiales; Euphorbiaceae.
GGUUCUAGGGCUGAUGAGGUUGAUAAUUGGGGCAGUGCUAAAAAACCUCUUCCUGCUAGAUCUACUUUUGGUUCGGGUUUUCGAGAUUCAGGACCUGAGCCUGAUCGGUGGACAAGAGGAGGAUAUCGUGAGCCGGAGCGGGAGAGGCCUAGAUUGGUUUUAGAUCCUCCGAAAGCUGAUGUAGGUGCUAAUGAGUCGGUUAAAACAAAUAGGUCAAAUCCAUUCGGAGAAGCGAGGCCGAGAGAACAGGUGUUGGCAG